GAAUUUUGGGCAAUGGGCGAAAGCCUGACCCAGCAACGCCGCGUGAAGGAUGAAAUCCUUCGGGAUGUAAACUUCGCAAGAACGGGAAGAAUAAGUAAGAGCUAACAUCUCUUACGAUGACGGUACUGUUUGUAAGCUCCGGCUAACUCCGUUCCAGCAGCCGCGGUAAUACGGGGGGAGCAAGCGUUGUUCGGAUUUACUGGGCGUAAAGGGCGCGUAGGCGGCCACCGCAAGUCAGUUGUGAAAUCUCUGGGCUUAACUCAGAAAGGUCAACUGAUACUGCGGGGCUAGAGUGCAGAAGGGGCAACUGGAAUUCUCGGUGUAGCGGUGAAAUGCGUAGAUAUCGAGAGGAACACCUGCGGCGAAGGCGGGUUGCUGGGCUGACACUGACGCUGAGGCGCGAAAGCUAGGGGAGCGAACGGG
RNAcentral lists this ribosomal RNA (423 nucleotides) under uncultured bacterium. RNAcentral describes it as "bacterial SSU rRNA". It matches the Rfam family "Bacterial small subunit ribosomal RNA", at positions 359 to 776 of the family's 1533-position model. The record is from RNAcentral.